UUUUAGCUCACCUGGCCCGAAGGGCCAAGUGAGCUUUUCUCAUCACUUGGCGUCCGUCGUCGGCGUCGUCCGUCGUCGUUAGCUUUUUACAAAAAUCUUCUCCUCUGAAACCACUGGGCCAAAUUUAACCAAACUUGGCCACAAUCAUCAUUAGGGUAUCUAGUUUAAAAAAUGUGUCUGAUGACCCCACCAACUAACCAAGAUGGCUGCCAUGGCUAAAAAUAGAACAUAGGGGUAAAAUGUAGAUUUUGGCUUAUAUGUCUGAAACCAAAGCAUUUAGAGUAAAUCUGACAUAGGGUAAAACUGAUUAUCAGGUCAAGAUCUAUCUGCCCUGAAAUUUUCAGACAAAUCUGACAACCUGUUGUUGGGUUGCUGCCCCUGAAUUGGUAAUUUUAAGGAAAUUUUGCAGUUUUUGGUUAUUAUCUUGAAUAUUAUUAUAGAUAGAGAUAAACUGUAAACAGCAAUAAUGUUCAGCAAAGUAAGAUCUACAAAUAAGUUGUCAUGACCAAAAUUGUCAGUCGACCCCUUUAGGAGUUAUUGCCCUUAAUAGUCAAUUUUUAACAAUUUUUUGUAAAUUUUUGUAAUCUUUUACAAAAAUCUUCUUCUCUGAAAUUACUGAGACAAAUUUAACCAUACUUGGCCAUAAUCAUUAUUAGUGUAUCUAGUUUAAAAAAUAUGUCCGAUGACCCCGCCUUUCAACCAUCAUGGCCGACUUGGUUAAAAAUAGAACAUAGGGGUAAAAUGCAGUUUUUAUACGACCGCAAAAAAAUUUUUGUGGUCGUAUAUUGGUAUGACGUUGGCGUCGUCGUCGUCGUCGUCCGGCGUCGUCCGAAGACACAUUGGUUUUUAGCACUCUAACUUUAGUUUAAGUGAAUGGAUCCUUAUGAAAUUUUACCACAAGGUUCAAUACCACAAAAGGAAGGUUGGGAUUGAUUUUGGGGGUUAUGGUAAUAACAGUAAAGGAAUUAGGGGCCAAAAAGGGGCCAAAAAUAAGCAUUUUUGUAACUUCCAGACAUAACUUGUGUCUUAGUGUAUGGAUCUCUCUGACAUUGUACCACAAGGUUCCAUAUCACUAAAGGAAUGCUGGGAUUGAUUUUGGGGGUAAUUGCCUCCAAAUUUUAGGAAUUAGGGGCCAAAAAAGGGGCAAAAAAACAAGCAUUUUUCUAGUUUCAUGACAAUAACUUGUGUGUAAGUGUAUGGAUCUUUCUGAAAUUGUACUACAAGGUUCCAUAUCACAAAGGGAAAGCUGGAAUUGAGUUUGGGGGUAAUUGCCCAAAACGUUUAGGAAUAAGGGGCCAAAAAGGGGCAAAAAAACAAGUAUUUUUCUAGUUUCCAGACAAUAACUUGUGUUCAAGUGUACGGAUCUCUCUGAAAUUGUACUGCAAGGUACCAUACCACAAAGGGAAGGCUGGGAUUGAUUUUGGGGGUAAUUCCCUCAAAAUUUUAGGAAUUUGGGGCAAAAAAGGGGCAAAAAAACAAGCAUUUUUCUAGUUUCCAGACAAUAACUUGUGUUCAAGUGUACGGAUCUCUCUGAAAUUGUACUGCAAGGUACCAUACCACAAAGGGAAGGCUGGGAUUGAGUUUGGGGGUGAUGAAUCAUAAGGGGGUUCAAAAAAUUUUGGGGGUGUUGGGGAUUUUUUUUUGCUUUUUUUUCUUUAAAAUUUUCCAUUUUAAAUUGGUUAUAUCUGAUUUAUAAUUUACAUAUAAAAGCAAAUAAUAAUGAUAUGGUUUGAAUAGGUAAAUUAAAAAAAUUUAAGUUCUUAGACCACAUUCAUUCUGUGUCAGAAACCUAUGCUGUGUCAAAUAUUUGAUUACAAUCCAAAUUCAGUGCUGUAUCAAGCUUGAAUGUUGUGUCCAUACUUGCCCCAACUGUUCAGGGUUCGACCUCUGCGGUCGUAUCAAGCUGCGCCCCAGCGGAGCAUUUUUUUUUUACAAAAUUGAAUUUAAAAGCAUCAAAUGUUUUCACAGUAAGAAGUUUUCACAGUAAGAAGACAUUGUAAGACCCUGAACUUUAAGGUCUUGUUGCUUUGCAGCUUUAAUCAAAAUGUGCGGGUAUAAUUGACAGUAACUUUGAAGGACUUUUGGUUAAUAAUUAUCAUAGUGCUACAAACAAGUUAACAAUUUCAAUUUAAACAUCACUGACUUCCUAUUGGAGAAGAUUUUGUGAUUUUUGUAUCAGUAAGCUGAUACUCUGUCUACUAUUGUAUGCUUUUGAAAAAAAACAGUUUUGUCAAAGAAGACAAUGUUCACUUUAAUUAAUAGUUUAUUUACAAAUCGUAUUGAGAAAUUGAUCAGUAUUAAAUGCAUGACAUCUCUUGUAUACAUGGAAUGAAAGAAUGUGUGGUUUUUUAACCUAAAAAAAAAUGAUAACAUUCCAAACUGUUACAUUAAGAAAAUAAAUACCAAUUAUUUUACACCAAAUAUAAAUUAAAUAUAUAUAAUCGGAAAAAAUGACAAGAAGAUAUCAUGUAUUGAAAUCAGUUUUAAGGUUGGUAUUUGUUUAGUUGUAAAUUUAAUCAAAUACUAAAUAGUCCUUAAAUGAUGUAUUCAUUUUUAUCAGUUUUGUUUUUUUCAUGAAUUUUUUAAAAUGAUGCAAUAAGUUAAUGAAUAAGUGACAUUGCCAACAAAACUAGUAUUCAAAAAUUAGAUCAACUACAAGAACAUUUAUAAAUCUUUUUUUUAAAUGAGAGGUAUUUGCCUGAUGAAUUGCAGAUAUUUUUUAAUUCAAAAAGCAGUUUUUAUCAUCAACUUCACAACAGUUAAAGAGUGUCAAAAUUAAACAUUUCAAGAAGAUUUGACAUAGAUUUUACUGUCUAUAACAGUCUUUCCUUUAUGAAACACUAUAUUAAACAACAAUUUUUCAAGGUCAAACAGUUUUCUCUACAACUUUACAGAAAACAUUUAAAAAUGAACUAUAUACAGUCUAUAGUACUAUGACCAAUGUCUAGUUGACAUAUCAGGAUUAUGUGUAUUAAGUGUAGUAGCUAUAUUUGUUUUGUGAAUGUAUGUAAUUGUUAAGAAGAACAAAGAAAUUUUUAUUUACAAGAAAUCUUACAUAUUCUUAUUGAGCCUAUGAUAUUAAAUAAAGAAAUACAAUUUUA
This is a long non-coding RNA of Mytilus californianus (California mussel), 3101 nucleotides long. RefSeq lists it as uncharacterized. The record is from RefSeq and is a predicted model, not a curated record. The transcript is spliced from 2 exons. Lineage: Eukaryota; Metazoa; Mollusca; Bivalvia; Mytilida; Mytilidae.